RNAcentral lists this ribosomal RNA (299 nucleotides) under uncultured Foraminifera-like protist. RNAcentral's name for it is "partial 18S ribosomal RNA". It matches the Rfam family "Eukaryotic small subunit ribosomal RNA", at positions 1207 to 1423 of the family's 1831-position model. Lineage: Eukaryota; Foraminifera. The record is from RNAcentral.
GGGAAAACUUACCGGGUCCGGACAUACUGAGGAAUGACAGGUUCUGUGUUGAUACACUGGUUAGUGUAUAAGAGAGGUGGCAACAUUUGGAUAUUCGCUGCUGGUUUACCAGCUCACUGAUAAAUUUGCUAGUCCUUUCAUGAUUGUGUGAUAGGUGGUGCAUGGCCGUUCUUAGUUCGUGGAGUGAUUUGUCUGCUUAAUUGCGUUUCACAAGAGAUAUAAGGGCUUGUUAGCUUUGAUCUUUGUUGCUUUCGGGUAGCUUAGUGAUUAGUUGACUUGUUCAGUCUCGAAGGCAACGA